RNAcentral lists this long non-coding RNA (313 nucleotides) under Salvia miltiorrhiza (redroot sage). RNAcentral's name for it is "long non-coding RNA (SMIL_LNC010697)". The record is from RNAcentral. Lineage: Eukaryota; Viridiplantae; Streptophyta; Magnoliopsida; Lamiales; Lamiaceae.
AUGCGAUCCAUUUAACAGUUACAGAAUCACCGAGACAUAGAAAAUACAUCAUUAAUCAUUCUCUACAUUUUUUUUUUCUUUCUUUUCCUUUCCACUACUUUUGCUUCCCACUUAUUUACACCACUACAUUUUGUCAAGCACUUCAUUUUGUCACCAUUACAUUUUGUCAAACCACCACAACAACUUCUCCACUUAACCUACAUCAGCUCACGCAAACCAAAUUCACUUCUUUAAUAAUUCAGUAGCAAACUUCCUUCAUAUCACCCAUUCUACACUAAAAACUUCACCAAAAGAAAAGAAAGAUUUCAUUUAC